RNAcentral lists this ribosomal RNA (252 nucleotides) under uncultured microorganism. Its description in RNAcentral is "partial 16S ribosomal RNA". It matches the Rfam family "Bacterial small subunit ribosomal RNA", at positions 524 to 776 of the family's 1533-position model. The record is from RNAcentral.
UACGUAGGUCCCGAGCGUUGUCCGGAUUUAUUGGGCGUAAAGCGAGCGCAGGUGGUUUAUUAAGUCUGGUGUAAAAGGCAGUGGCUCAACCAUUGUGUGCAUUGGAAACUGUUAGACUUGAGUGCAGUAGAGGAGAGUGGAAUUCCAUGUGUAGCGGUGAAAUGCGUAGAUAUAUGGAGGAACACCGGUGGCGAAAGCGGCUCUCUGGCCUGUAACUGACACUGAGGCUCGAAAGCGUGGGGAGCAAACAGG